CCUACGGGAGGCAGCAGUGGGGAAUAUUGCACAAUGGGCGGAAGCCUGAUGCAGCGACGCCGCGUGAGGGAUGAAGGCCUUCGGGUUGUAAACCUCUUUCAGCAGGGACGAAGCGUGAGUGACGGUACCUGCAGAAGAAGCACCGGCUAACUACGUGCCAGCAGCCGCGGUAAUACGUAGGGUGCGAGCGUUGUCCGGAAUUACUGGGCGUAAAGAGUUCGUAGGCGGUUUGUCGCGUCGUUUGUGAAAACCCGGGGCUCAACUUCGGGCUUGCAGGCGAUACGGGCAGACUUGAGUGUUUCAGGGGAGACUGGAAUUCCUGGUGUAGCGGUGAAAUGCGCAGAUAUCAGGAGGAACACCGGUGGCGAAGGCGGGUCUCUGGGAAACAACUGACGCUGAGGAACGAAAGCGUGGGUAGCAAACAGGAUUAGAUACCCUGGUAGUCCACGCCGUAAACGGUGGCGCUAGGUGUGGGUUCCUUCCACGGGAUCUGUGCCGUAGCUAACGCAUUAAGCGCCCCGCCUGGGGGAGGUACGGCCGCGAGACGUAAACGUACAANAGAGUAGACGGCGUGAGACGUUGCGAGGCGACGACGAGGGAGAGG
RNAcentral lists this ribosomal RNA (604 nucleotides) under uncultured bacterium. RNAcentral's name for it is "bacterial SSU rRNA". The stretch from base 1 to 523 matches the Rfam family "Bacterial small subunit ribosomal RNA", at positions 338 to 873 of the family's 1533-position model. The record is from RNAcentral.